CACAUAGAGGAUAUGCAGGUGAGGGUGCUCAGAGUAGAAGGUGACUGUGGGAACAGAUGGAUAGGGACUCUGUGUUCUUUCUCUGGGUGUAGCAGAACUGCCUACAGCUGGGGAACCCUGCCAGGUAGGAUGCUCAUGUGGAGGCCCUAACAUAAGGGGGAAGAACUGGCUUAGUCAGGGGAGGCUGCACUCAAGAGGAGGGGUAGGACUUACAGGUGGAGGUACUGGGGAGUGGAAUGCUGUAGGGGGCCUGCCUGCGGAAGCCCUGCUUUGAGGGUUGUUGAUAGGAAGAAGUUGAGAGGCAGCAGCCAGAAGCCUGAGGGAACAGACCUUGGCUGCUUGUUAUAAGGUCCAUGGACUGGAACCCAAUGUAGUCUAAGUUCUCCUAUGAACCACUGGGAAGUUGGCAUGGAACCCCCUGAGAAGGGGCUAAGGAAAGUUGAAAGCCCUAAGAGAAGGAGUAAAAGGACCAUGAGGUCCAGAGUUGGGGCCCAAAGUUGGACGUAAGGACUGGGACUAUUGUCUGUUAGACUUUCUGUUACUCCAGAAGUCGUGGGUGACGGGGGAAGAGAGACUAUAAGUGACUGGCCAGAGGGCUGAGUCAUGACAAGAGGCAGACUGCUGUAGCUAUCAGCAGAGUGUGCCAGAUGAGAAGAGCCUGCUACUCCACACACAGGAAUAAAAGGGUGUCCCAGUGAUUUUGAAAUCUGACAUAGUGCAAGCCAUCUCAGUACACAUGUGAUGUGAAUUACAUUAAAAUGAAAUAUUUGGAAAAGUUUGUAUCAGUCUGAGGAGGCCUUGCUUCAGACAUCAAAACAGCACCAUCUUCAGAAUCCACUGAAGGCAGUGGAAAGAUUUCAACAGGGACUGGAUCGGGUCCUUUCAGAUGCUGUUGAAUAUUCUUGAUAUGGGGCCUGACUGUGCUGGCUUUACUCAUCCGACCAUCUGUAGUGUAGUCUGUCUGUUUAUUCUGUAUGCUUUUACUCCUUUUGAAACAAGCAUUGUAUUUUGCCUCCACUGAAGGCAAUAAGCCAAGCAAAACUGCUGUUGAUUUCAGGAUUGGGCUCUAAAUUGCGUAAAGAGAACUCAGUUACUUUGACCAUAUAACCUUAGAGCAGUAAAUGACAACGUGGCUAAUACUCAAUCUUCCUAGACAAACAAUUUGACAAUAAAUUAAGAUAUUUUCAGCACUCUUGG
This is a long non-coding RNA of Chelonia mydas (Green sea turtle), 1197 nucleotides long. RefSeq lists it as uncharacterized. The record is from RefSeq and is a predicted model, not a curated record. The transcript is spliced from 3 exons. NCBI's taxonomy places the organism in Eukaryota, Metazoa, Chordata, Testudines, Cheloniidae.